RNAcentral lists this ribosomal RNA (930 nucleotides) under Triticum aestivum (bread wheat). Its description in RNAcentral is "partial small subunit ribosomal RNA". Lineage: Eukaryota; Viridiplantae; Streptophyta; Magnoliopsida; Poales; Poaceae. The record is from RNAcentral.
AUGUGUGUCCCUAAGGAAAGAGGAGGUAUCAGUUUUCCUGGCGUUCACAGUUUCAAUUUGGGUAUGUUGGCUAAGGAGUGUCGGAGGCUUGUGGAGAACUAUGGAUCCUUGUGUGUGAGAGUAUUGAAAUCAAAGUAUUAUCCCUCUAGUGGUCUCUUAAAUUGUGAGCUAAAGAAGUCAUCUUAUGUUUGGCAAAUCAUAUGGGCUGGUGUACAAACCUUUAAGAAAGGCAUUUGGAGGGUAGGAGAUAGAACUAAAAUACAUAUAUGGAACAACUGCUGGAUUCCCAAUAGCCAUAGUAGGAAAGUGAUCACUGCUCGUGGAAACAGAGUUCUAACUAUGGUGAGUGAGCUUAUUGAUCUAAUUACGGGUGAUUGGGAUGAGCAGCUGAUUAGGGAUAAUUUUUGGCCUAUAGAUGUUGACAGAAUUCUUCAAAUUCCUUUAUCCCAUCAAUCAAUAGAGGACUUUGUGGCAUGGCAUCUAACAAAAAAUGGUAUAUUCAGCAUAAGGUCGGCUUACUAUAAACAAUGGGAGGACACGUAUGUUAAUGAGAACCCAAAUAUUUUUGGCCAACGAGGAUCGACACCACACCCAAUAUGCAAUAAACUUUGGAGUGUGAAGGUACCUGGAAAGGUGAUGAUCUUCUUAUGGUGAUGUUUGCAUAAUGCAAUCCCUUGCUUAUGCGUUUUAGCCAACCGUCACAUUGGAACCAACUCACAAUGUCCAAUAUGUAAAAUGUCUGCGAAAGAUGUUGGCCAUGCUCUGUUUAAGUUUGAAAGAGCAAAUCUGGUCUGGGAUGCACUCGGGUUUAGAGACACAAUUAAAAAUGCAACCUGCUUGAUAGGUUUGGCUCCGCGAUCAUCGAGUUCCUGUUAUGUGACUCUUCUGUCAAAUUCCUUAUAUGGAACCGGUCCAAUUCUCAGAAAAUAG